CCCUUAGACGUUCUGGGCCGCACGCGCGCUACACUGACACAGGCAACGAGCUUUCCUUUACCGAAAGGUAUGGGUAAUCUUUUGAAACUGUGUCGUGCUGGGGAUAGAUCCUUGCAAUUUUUGAUCUUAAACGAGGAAUUCCUAGUAAGCGCGAGUCAUCAACUCGCGUUGAUUACGUCCCUGCCCUUUGUACACACCGCCCGUCGCUACUACCGAUUGGAUGUUUAAGCGAGGUUCUCGAACUGCUAGCGACUUAGCUUCGGUGAGGUCGCAGUGUGGGAAGUGAACCUAGCUUUGGUGUCUAGAGGAAGUAAAAGUCGUAACA
This 325-nucleotide ribosomal RNA is filed under the name uncultured eukaryote. RNAcentral describes it as "partial 18S ribosomal RNA". It matches the Rfam family "Eukaryotic small subunit ribosomal RNA", at positions 1470 to 1796 of the family's 1831-position model. The record is from RNAcentral.